RNAcentral lists this long non-coding RNA (493 nucleotides) under Brassica napus (rape). Its description in RNAcentral is "long non-coding RNA (BNAP_LNC024773)". The record is from RNAcentral. Lineage: Eukaryota; Viridiplantae; Streptophyta; Magnoliopsida; Brassicales; Brassicaceae.
GUGGGUUUGAGCGGACGAGUUGACAGUGGCAAGGUUAGGGUUUCCUGUAGCAGGAAUAGUGGCCACAUAUCCAUAAUUAAGUUAAGGAGGUUGGGGUUCAGUUGCAAAGAAGUUUAUUUGCUGUUCAGGCGUCACAGUAGUAGCAGCCAGAGAGCCAAGUGGUGAAGACUGAGUCAUAACAACAUCAGUAGUUGAUGGGGAGGAAGAGUUGCGGUAGGCAGAGCGAGAGGGUUUGGGUGAGUUUGCAGAUAGGGGUGGGAAUUGGAGAGGGUACUGGGGGAGUUCUGGUCAGGAGGGUCAGGGGGAGCGGGAGGAGGGGCUUCACCUGAGGUGGGUGACGGUGGUUUGAGGCCGAAAGCACGGUCCGGAAUGGCCCAACGAGACUGCAUCGAGAAGCGUGUCAGGGAGAAACUGACUUUCUUUUAAAUUAUACUAGUGAAAAGAGACAACGUUCUGCAGUUUGUGAAAAGAGACAACGCUCUGCAGACUGCAG